RNAcentral lists this unclassified non-coding RNA (973 nucleotides) under Hevea brasiliensis (rubber tree). Lineage: Eukaryota; Viridiplantae; Streptophyta; Magnoliopsida; Malpighiales; Euphorbiaceae. The record is from RNAcentral.
GGAAUCCCUAAAUGGAUGCAACUAAAACCCCGAUUAAGAGCAUUUACAAAAAUUCAGAUGUUGGGUGUACAGACAACCCACUAAAAAUCUAUUCACAUGAUGGGGUAUGCAGCUAACAAAUGAUACUCUUGUAUUCCUAGUACCAUAAGAGCAUUGGUAAGACUCCCAUAAGUCAUCAAAUCUACAAAUGCAGAUCAUGCGUCACACUACUUCUAAAUGCUACUUCCUCAUCGUCCAAGGUUGUCAGCCGCCUCCUUUUCACAUUGUGUUCAGCAUCGGCUUCUGAGCCAGAACCAUUACCAAUGAGCAACAAGCUUUUACAGGCAAGGUUCACAUUUCCAUGCAUAUCAUAUGGGUUCUCCUGACCGGAGGUAACAGGACCAGUACCACUGUUAUCAUGAGUCUCAAUCGAGGAUUGUGCCAAAGUAAUGUCCAGCAGCUCGCCAGGAGUGGCAUGUCCAUCAACCAAACAGUCAAUACUCGACUUUGGCUGAUCAAUUUUCUCAUCUGUACUCAUAUUUUGAUCUACUUUGCACACUUCUGCAACCUCAGCUUCUAAUUGUUUCUGUGUCACGGACUGAAGUAGUUGGCGAUGAGUCAAAUUGCUCGUCCACAUCUUGGACAACUGACACAUCUGGGAUCCAGGAAGUUCCCGCAACAAGAGACCCAGAUGAAUAUGAAAAGGCACAGGGUUCAGAUCCAUUCCCACCCAGAUGCAGAAGGUCUCUGUCUGUUGCUGUGUACGCAAGAUGAUCUCCAGCUUCCAUCUCUUCCUGUAUUGGCGGUAAUGAACUCCUGAAUUCGUUAAAAGAUGCUGCAUGACCAAAACCCAUGUCAAGUAAAGGUUCUUCAUCAGAUUCAGACUCAAAAGAAUCAUUUAAACAAAAGCCUGAAUCAUUAGCACAAACACCCCUGAGAGAGGAAGUAGGAAAUGGGUUUAUCUCAAUAGCUUGAGAACGCGGUAAAUUGUCUG